AUGUUUGGACAUUCUUUAAAUGACCCCAACUUUUGUAAGCAUGUGGGCAUCCCAAUGGUUGGCAUCCAUGUUAGGUUUGAACGACUUCCGAUGCCGUAUGCAAGUGUCGCAAAUGUCGUGCCAUUUAUCGCUCUUUUUUUACCGAGAAAAUUUCAGAAAAUGCAAAAUUUUGUCGAAAACCAAAAUAACUUGGCAUGCCUUGAAUUGAUCAUACAAGGCCAUGGAAAUUUAGGCCAUUUGAAGGAUGUCGGGAUACAGGGUGCUCUCAAGCGAAACCUUGUGGCCACCCGAACACCCUCCGUUGAAUUUUUUUUGCCAUUCAUGAAAUGGUCUUAA
This 336-nucleotide ribosomal RNA is filed under the name Triticum aestivum (bread wheat). Its description in RNAcentral is "partial small subunit ribosomal RNA". The record is from RNAcentral. Lineage: Eukaryota; Viridiplantae; Streptophyta; Magnoliopsida; Poales; Poaceae.